GACGAACGCUGGCGGCGCGCCUAACACAUGCAAGUCGAACGAAGCACCUUGAUUUGAUUCUUCGGAUGAAGAUCUUGGUGACUGAGUGGCGGACGGGUGAGUAACGCGUGGGUAACCUGCCUCAUACAGGGGGAUAACAGUUAGAAAUGACUGCUAAUACCGCAUAAGCCCACAGCUCGGCAUCGAGCAGAGGGAAAGGAGUGAUCCGCUUUGAGAUGGCCUCGCGUCCGAUUAGCUGGUUGGUGAGGUAACGGCCCACCAAGGCGACGAUCGGUAGCCGGACUGAGAGGUUGAACGGCCACAUUGGGACUGAGACACGGCCCAG
Molecule: ribosomal RNA, 325 nt
Filed under: uncultured bacterium
Lineage: Bacteria
Description: bacterial SSU rRNA
Rfam family: Bacterial small subunit ribosomal RNA
Source: RNAcentral